RNAcentral lists this long non-coding RNA (3247 nucleotides) under Prunus persica (peach). Its description in RNAcentral is "long non-coding RNA (PPER_LNC002833)". Lineage: Eukaryota; Viridiplantae; Streptophyta; Magnoliopsida; Rosales; Rosaceae. The record is from RNAcentral.
ACUGCUCAAGAAAAUUGCAAACGACACUACCAAGUCUUUAAAUUCAAGAUUAGAACACAACAAACAAGCUCAUUUUAAAGUAGGAAGGCUACACUGAAAACGGGUCCAGUUUAAGAGUCUGCGAUUGUAACCUCCACUUCCACACCAGGUUCAAUUGUAAUGGAAGUAAUUUGCUUGACGACAUCAGGAGAACUGAAGAGGUCAAUCACCCUCUUGUGGACACGUAACUCAAAUCUGUCCCAUGUGUUGGUACCUGUAAAUCACAAACACAAUUUUAAAGGUACAUACAUAACCCUUUAAAAUGCAAAUGCAGAGACACUGUACUUCAAUAACUGGUCAUUUAUGAAUAAACCACAGUAAGCAACAAAUUUUACUUAUGUAACUUGGCACAAACAAGGGAGCUCCAAACUCUGAGUAAAUGGCCAUAAAAGCCAUAAGCCUUGCCCACAAAGCAAUAAGUUAACAACAAGAACAUUUCACAGUGAAACAUACCUUCACCACAAGGAGACUUCCUGGUGGUAAUGUGCAGAACCUUGGUUGGCAUUCUCACGGGUCCCUUAACCCGGAGCCUCUUGUCCUUCGCACCACGAACCAGAUCAGUGCAAACUGUCAAUAAAACAGAUGUCAAUCCAGCAGGCUAAAGAAAUAUUCAAACAAGAAAAAUCUUAUUUCUUAAUAAUCUAAACAAACUUAAAAACUUUAUGUAGUGGAUAAAACCCAUUUCAACCACGUCACACAGCAAUUAAGUAAAACUGAAAUUGAACACAAUGAAGCUCAUAAAAACCAGAACAAUCAUGCAGAUUAAGAAGACAAUUCGGGUAUAACAAACCAAAUUUAUUGAAAGUGUCUUGCAGUGGUUUCAUGUUAUAUGCACAAACAUUUCUCCAAAGUUCAAUAUACACUAACAGAUAUCCUCCUCCAGCUAUCAAAUGGGUCUUAGUCUUUAGACAACUGAAAAUUGGAACAUGGUAAAACAACUACACAAACGCGUCCCUAGCUAAGAGAAAGUAAUUUGUUCCAAUUAAAAAUAAAUAAAAAUAAAGAAAUGGGCAAAAAUUAAAUAAGACCGAUGAUAAGCAAAAGGAGAGACCUUUCUCGAGGUUCUUGACGUUCUUGGAGGAGAGAGUGAUCCUGAUCUUGUGGAUCUGCUCCUGCUCCUCCAGACCUGCCUUGCUUGGUUUCAUCGCUGCAUAAGCCAUUUUCUUCAGCCAAGCUACUCGUUCGCUUUCCUAUACAUCAACAUAGCAAUACAACGAUUAAUCACAGAUAUCAUAUAUAAUCUAUCAUAAAUAAGACAAAAGAUUACUCUGUUUCACUCAGUUUUGCUAGAAAUUAUUAAAAUAAGUAUAAUCUAAACUCUGAGAGAGACGAAGAAGAACACAGACCUGGGUGAGGUGAGGGUUUAGGGCAAGGGAUUUAUCCAAAUGAAGCAAAAUAUCUAUUUUAACAACCUGUUGACCCCAAAAAAAGCAAAACAACCUAAGUGACAAUGUGAAAGUUAUGGACGGGUCGGGUCGGGUUGUCACCAUGUGUGCCAGAUGUGUGAUAGUUAUGGACGUGUCGGGUUGAAGAUUUUUUAAGUUGGGUUCAACUUAUGAGUGUAGCCCAAAUAAUAAUCGGGUUAGUUAGGCUUCUUCAGACAAAUUACACCGAUAUUGUCUUUUCUUUUUGCAUAUUUUAUCUUUCGUCAAGCGGCAAGAGGGACAUUGUCGUGACCAAUUGGCUUAAUUCAUAUUUUUGAGUUUACUUUUAAUUAUUAAUAAUGAUAAUAAGGUUCAUUUGGUUGCCAAAUUUACUUUUGGAUUUGGAAAAUUUUCUUACAAAUUUUUGGUCGACAUGCUUUUGAAAUUAGGUUAGUUCCAACUUGUUUAAUCGCCAUUUCAUACAAAAAUUAAAGACACAUAAUUACUUAUUUAUUUUUGGUGAAGUAGGGUUGAAAAGGUUGAACCACAAACAAUGCUUAAGAAGAUACAAUGACCUUGAUAAUUGGUGGUAUUAGAUUCAUUGGAGAUGAUGCUUGGCUAACAAGACCCACAACUACCAAUGGUUUUGUUAAAAGUCAGAAAAUUUAAGGACUUCGAGUGGACAUUUAAAUCAACAGCCCACUACAGAUGAUUGAGAUAUGUUUAUUUCAAUCGAUAUAGGCAUAUGGCAAGCUAAAAUCACUAGUUUUAAUUAGAGAUUAGUUCAUCUUUGCUUCAUGAGUUCAUCAUCAGCAGCAGCAGUAUGCAAUGAGCUGAAUUAUGCCAUUGCCAAGCAUCGUAAACAUUCAUGGUUCACUUCACGUGAUCAAGAGGCAAGAUCAUAAGAAACUAUGAAUACGUCAACUUGUAUGGUUCACUUGUUUGUGACCAUUUUAGCUAUAUAGGUUUAGGUUUUGGGGUGCAGGCACAUCCCUCCUUAGGGAAUGCAAUAAGUUCCACAAGGCAAUCCAUGACAACCAUCAAAAACUCAAUUGCCACAUAAUGAUGUAGAAGAACAAGACCAGGAAGAAAACAUUUGAACGCCCCAGAGGCCAUCAACAACAAAACUCAAUUUAAGAAUUUCAAUUGGUCUUGAUUCUCUCUCACGAUGUACUUGACAUAUAUAGGAUAAAAAUGAAAAGGAAACAAAGGUAAAACAUUUGCAAAACGUACUUCUAUUCAAUAUCAAAAUAUGCACUGACGUACAUAUCCAUAUCAAAACAUCAGGGUCAAGAAAUUGCAAACGACGCUACUAAAUCUUUAAAUUCAAAAUUAGAACAGAAAAAACAAGCUCAUUGUCCAACUAAUUGGGAAGGCUAUGCGGAAAACUGGUUCAGUUUAAGAGUCGGCAAUUGUAACCUCCACUUCCACACCAGGUUCAAUUGUAAUGGAUGUAAUUUGCUUGACCACAUCAGGAGAGCUAAAGAGGUCAAUAACCCUCUUGUGGACGCGCAACUCAAAUCUGUCCCAUGUGUUGGUACCUGUAAAUCACAAACAAAAUUUUAAAGAUACAUACAUAACCAUUUAAAAUGCAAAUGCAGACAAUGUAUUUCUGCAACUGGUCAGGUAUGAACAGGCCACAGUAAGUUACAAAAUUUACUUAUGUAACCUAGCACAAACAAGGGUAAUCCUAAACCAACUCUAAGAAUGACCACAAAAGCCAUAACCCUUGUCCAUAAACUAGCCCAUAAGGCAUUCAUAUAUACACUAAAACAACUAAAACAACGACAGAAAUAUAACAAUGUCAUUUGUCAAGCCGUAAAUUAAGAGCAAGUACAUUUCAC